AUCCUUAGCUGGCAGUGGAAAUACCAUAAUCACAGAGGUGGUUUUCCCAGGAUAAGGCUGAUCCAUUGCACUCUGGAUGUGCUAAUUCCUUUGAUUUCCCCAAAUGUUGGAAACUCCACUACAUAAUUUGUGGUACUGGGGACUGGUUUGUGCUUCCUUCCCCU
This is a small nuclear RNA of Oryctolagus cuniculus (rabbit), 164 nucleotides long. Its record names the gene U1. It matches the Rfam family "U1 spliceosomal RNA". Rfam says of the family: U1 is a small nuclear RNA (snRNA) component of the spliceosome (involved in pre-mRNA splicing). Its 5' end forms complementary base pairs with the 5' splice junction, thus defining the 5' donor site of an intron. NCBI's taxonomy places the organism in Eukaryota, Metazoa, Chordata, Mammalia, Lagomorpha, Leporidae. The record is from Ensembl.